This 201-nucleotide ribosomal RNA is filed under the name uncultured bacterium. Its description in RNAcentral is "partial 16S ribosomal RNA". It matches the Rfam family "Bacterial small subunit ribosomal RNA", at positions 328 to 537 of the family's 1533-position model. The record is from RNAcentral.
ACGCUCGACACCUACGGGAGGCAGCAGUUGGGAAUAUUGGACAAUGGAGGGAACUCUGAUCCAGUGACGCCGCGUGAAGGAAGAAGGUCUUCGGAUUGUAAACUUAUUUUAUCAGGGAAGAAAGAAAUGACAGUACCUGAAGAAGAAGGACCGGCUAACUACGUGACAGCAGCCGCGGUAAUCUGAGCGGGCUGGCAAGGC